RNAcentral lists this ribosomal RNA (468 nucleotides) under uncultured bacterium. RNAcentral's name for it is "partial 16S ribosomal RNA". It matches the Rfam family "Bacterial small subunit ribosomal RNA", at positions 28 to 507 of the family's 1533-position model. The record is from RNAcentral.
GACGAACGCUGGCGGCGUGCUUAACACAUGCAAGUCGAACGGAAAGGCCCUGCUUUUGUGGGGUGCUCGAGUGGCGAACGGGUGAGUAACACGUGAGUAACCUGCCCUUGACUUUGGGAUAACUUCAGGAAACUGGGGCUAAUACCGGAUAGGAGCUCCUGCUGCAUGGUGGGGGUUGGAAAGUUUCGGCGGUUGGGGAUGGACUCGCGGCUUAUCAGCUUGUUGGUGGGGUAGUGGCUUACCAAGGCUUUGACGGGUAGCCGGCCUGAGAGGGUGACCGGCCACAUUAGGACUGAGAUACGGCCCAGACUCCUACGGGAGGCAGCAGUGGGGAAUAUGGCACAAUGGGCGGAAGCCUGAUGCAGCAACGCCGCGUGCGGGAUGACGGCCUUCGGGUUGUAAACCGCUUUCGCCUGUGACGAAGCGUGAGUGACGGUAAUGGGUAAAGAAGCACCGGCUAACUACGUG